AAUCUGUCAGCAAAUGAUGUUAAACCAGAUCUGACAAACUGCUGAGUUUGUUCAAUCCAAUCCUGAGCUUCGUGUU
This is a small nucleolar RNA of Artibeus jamaicensis (Jamaican fruit-eating bat), 76 nucleotides long. RefSeq annotates it as small nucleolar RNA SNORD69. The record is from RefSeq and is a predicted model, not a curated record. The transcript has a single exon. Lineage: Eukaryota; Metazoa; Chordata; Mammalia; Chiroptera; Phyllostomidae.